Long non-coding RNA from Alosa sapidissima (American shad), 118 nucleotides. RefSeq lists it as uncharacterized. The transcript has 3 exons. NCBI's taxonomy places the organism in Eukaryota, Metazoa, Chordata, Actinopteri, Clupeiformes, Clupeidae. The record is from RefSeq and is a predicted model, not a curated record.
UGUGUGUGUGUGUGUAUGCGUAAUACUGGUAGCAGAAGAGUGGCGUAGAGAGUUCCAAUCACAGACAUUGUGUGUGUGUGUGUGUGUGUGUAGUGUGUGAGUGUGUGUGUGUGUGUGC